Long non-coding RNA from Raphanus sativus (radish), 1539 nucleotides. RefSeq lists it as uncharacterized. The transcript has 5 exons. NCBI's taxonomy places the organism in Eukaryota, Viridiplantae, Streptophyta, Magnoliopsida, Brassicales, Brassicaceae. The record is from RefSeq and is a predicted model, not a curated record.
UCAAGCGGCCCAUUACAUAAAAUCAAUCCCACUGUACGUCGUAUCCGAAACCACCAACUUCGUCUCUCAUCUUCCUCCGGCUUAGCGGCGGUGACGAUUGCGCUUCAUCUCAUGUCUGUAACGGACUGCGUUAUGAAUCUGUCUUUAAUCCCUUUGAUUAAUUCUCACACGAUGUUUCUUUGAUGCGCUGGUUAGAUGUGAGGGGCUGUGUAUAAAUAGAUGUAAGUUUCCUCUCCAUGAACUCAAAAAUCCGGCUAACUUCUUUAUGUUUUGUUAUAUUUUUGAUUAGGUUUAUAUAUUAGAAAUAAAACCUCUUAUUGAUUGUUGAAUUUGCGAAAUAAGGUCGAACCCCUUCGUGUUUGUUUGUUUUGUAUUUAAUAAUUUUUUUAUGAUUUAUGCUUUAUGUGUGAUGACGAGGGAGUCUAGAUCCUGCGAAAAUGAGCAACAAGAAGAACGCCUUGAUCUUACCGCAGUUAAAAAAAGAAAAAACUCUUAACGGGAUGAUCGAGCAGUUCUUCUGAAUGCUCUCAAGAUGUACAGUGUACUCUUUGGUUGUCCAACGUUUGGCUGUCCUUGAGAACUUGAGUCUCACUGUUGGGAAGCGAGGUUCUCAGAGAGAUUCAGGUGAAUCCAUCUUCCACCUAGAUGAAAUGAAACUUCUAUUUCAUUUGGGAUCAUGGAUUUUGGUGGACUUCCAAAUAUUAUCUGUAAGAGUUUCUGCAAAUUCUUCAGUCCACUUCAAGUUCCUGAGAACAACAAUGAUCCUGAUGAUGGAUAGAACUCCAAGGCCAAAUGGAGCACGACUAUGACAACAGGCCUGACUCCUGAUCUCAUAUUCAGUUCUAUUUUCUUUUUAGCUCAGUUCUAGGAUCUAAAUAUGUCGAUUGUUUAAUCAGUAGAUCAAACCAUUAAAGAGAAAAUCGUCUUGCGUGUUGUGUCAAAGUUUACUGGUGAAGUUGUUGAUGCAUAUUACCUUGAGAUGGACAACGAUGAUGAUGAGGUUACCGAAGAUGAUGAUGAGGAUGCGAAGGGAGGAAGAUGAGUAGAGGAGGACGAGGAUGACAAUGAAAAGGAUGAGCAAGGAAAGAAGAGCAUAAAAAGUCAUCACCUGGACGCAAGGUUUUAACAAUUACUCAACAUCAACCUUUGGUUUUAUUUCUUAUAGUUAUUUAAGGGCUUAAAUAUAUUUCUUAUAUUUAAGGGCUGAUAUAACCUGAGGCUCUUUUCUUUGUGAACAAAGUCUGGAAGCAUACAACUUGCGGAAGGUCAACAAGGUGAGAGGCCUUUGGAGAGUAAGCAACAGUGAGUAAAAUUCUUCUGCAGUAUAGAAUGUGGCUUAUUUGUGAGGAUGAGUCGGGUCUUUCUGUUUCUGAAGAUGUAGAAUUGUUGUCCGGUUGAUACUAUAUAUCAAGUUUUGUCGGGUGGUUUGCUAAAAAAAUAGGUUAUUUUGUUUGGUGUGGUUUGUGUCUGAUUUUUCAUUUGUACCGUUUCUAAUAAUGAACCGGUUUGAACUUAUAGUAUUUGUCGUUUUGUUCACAA